This 207-nucleotide ribosomal RNA is filed under the name uncultured bacterium. RNAcentral's name for it is "partial 16S ribosomal RNA". It matches the Rfam family "Bacterial small subunit ribosomal RNA", at positions 568 to 774 of the family's 1533-position model. The record is from RNAcentral.
UGCGUAGGCGGUUCGUUAAGUUGGAUGUGAAAACUCUGGGCUCAACCCAGAGCCUGCAUCCAAAACUGGCGGGCUAGAGUUCUGGAGGGGGUAGCGGAAUUCCUGGUGUAGCGGUGAAAUGCGUAGAUAUCAGGAGGAACACCGGUGGCGAAGGCGGCUACCUGGACAGAAACUGACGCUGAGGCACGAAAGCUAGGGGAGCAAACA